UCUGAGGUUUUCUAGGCAAAAAUGGAAGCUGAACUAUGCGCAGCCAUACGUAGCUAGACUUUGUUAUUCAAGGAGACCUCGGAACUGAGUGUGUGGGCUCAGUGACGGUGUGGCAGGCAGGUGAGCCUGUUUCCUGGAGUCUGAAAUGAGACCACAACAAGUGAAGAUUGACAGCUGGAAUGGAAAAUCCCACGGUGUGGUCUACAAACACAGACGAGGCCAGAAGUGGGGGAAGAUCCUCCUUCCUUCUCUGUUUGUUCAAAGAUAAAGAGGCCCAUUCAGUCCACAUGGGGUCCAGCAAUUUAACCAUAAACUACAUUAAUGGAUGCCAGAAAGUAACUGCCCUCCUGGGCUGAGUCCAGAGACAGGCACCUCAGGUUCCAAACCGUCUGUGCCAAGUGUCCCCAAUUCCUCCCUUUAAAAGUGACCUUUCAAGAAUUCAUUCUGCAAUCUCAGAGCCUAUAGAUCUUUCUUUUCUUUCUUUCUUGAAUUAAAAAAGAAAAGCUUCUUGUAUUUCUAA
This is a long non-coding RNA of Meriones unguiculatus (Mongolian gerbil), 520 nucleotides long. RefSeq lists it as uncharacterized. Lineage: Eukaryota; Metazoa; Chordata; Mammalia; Rodentia; Muridae. The transcript has 2 exons. The record is from RefSeq and is a predicted model, not a curated record.